This 465-nucleotide ribosomal RNA is filed under the name Vreelandella stevensii. RNAcentral describes it as "partial 16S ribosomal RNA". It matches the Rfam family "Bacterial small subunit ribosomal RNA", at positions 338 to 795 of the family's 1533-position model. Lineage: Bacteria; Pseudomonadati; Pseudomonadota; Gammaproteobacteria; Oceanospirillales; Halomonadaceae. The record is from RNAcentral.
UCUACGGGAGGCAGCAGUGGGGAAUAUUGGACAAUGGGCGAAAGCCUGAUCCAGCCAUGCCGCGUGUGUGAAGAAGGCCUUCGGGUUGUAAAGCACUUUCAGUGGGGAAGAAAGCCUUGGGGCUAAUACCCUCGAGGAAGGACAUCACCCACAGAAGAAGCACCGGCUAACUCCGUGCCAGCAGCCGCGGUAAUACGGAGGGUGCGAGCGUUAAUCGGAAUUCCUGGGCGUAAAGCGCGCGUAGGCGGUCUGAUAAGCCGGUUGUGAAAGCCCCGGGCUCAACCUGGGAACGGCAUCCGGAACUGUCAGGCUAGAGUGCAGGAGAGGAAGGUAGAAUUCCCGGUGUAGCGGUGAAAUGCGUAGAGAUCGGGAGGAAUACCAGUGGCGAAGGCGGCCUUCUGGACUGACACUGACGCUGAGGUGCGAAAGCGUGGGUAGCAAACAGGAUUAGAUACCCUGGUAGUC